GACGGAGGGUGCUAGCGUUGUUCGGAAUCACUGGGCGUAAAGGGCGCGUAGGCGGCCUGGCAAGUCGGUUGGUGAAAGCCCGGGGCUCAACCCCGGAGGUGCGGCCGAGACUGCGAGGCUGGAGGCCGGAAGAGGAGGGUGGAAUACCCAGUGUAGAGGUGAAAUUCGUAGAUAUUGGGUGGAACACCGGUGGCGAAAGCGGCUCUCUGGUCCGGACCUGACGCUGAGGCGCGAAAGCGUGGGGAGCAAACAGG
RNAcentral lists this ribosomal RNA (254 nucleotides) under uncultured bacterium. RNAcentral describes it as "partial 16S ribosomal RNA". It matches the Rfam family "Bacterial small subunit ribosomal RNA", at positions 524 to 776 of the family's 1533-position model. The record is from RNAcentral.